Thalassophryne amazonica is the source of this 158-nucleotide long non-coding RNA. RefSeq lists it as uncharacterized. The record is from RefSeq and is a predicted model, not a curated record. The transcript is spliced from 3 exons. Lineage: Eukaryota; Metazoa; Chordata; Actinopteri; Batrachoidiformes; Batrachoididae.
GUGUGGUGUGUGUGUGUGUGUGUGUGUGUGUGGAAAGGAAAGGCAAGUCGGGCCACAAAUCGGCAAGGGAGGCCAGGUAAAGAGUUCAUCAUGACAAGCAAGGCAAAUCUGAUUUAUUUCCAAAAAUAAUCUCAGAGAACUCAGAAUAAAUGUUCCAC